RNAcentral lists this long non-coding RNA (646 nucleotides) under Lathyrus oleraceus (garden pea). RNAcentral describes it as "Pisum sativum (pea) long non-coding RNA (PSAT_LNC041905)". The record is from RNAcentral. Lineage: Eukaryota; Viridiplantae; Streptophyta; Magnoliopsida; Fabales; Fabaceae.
UUUUGUGGGUGUGAAGCGGUGGAAGUUGCUAUGGUGGUGAGUGGAUCGUGUGGAGAUAUGGUGAAGGAGGUUUGUUUUUUAGGGAGAUGAACGGCGGAGAGAGAUGAGAGAGUGGUGGUUCGUGCCUCUCUUCUCCUUUUUCGUUUUUUGUUCUCUUUCGUGAGUGAGAGGGUGAGAGAGUGGUGAGUGUUAGGUAGGUGGUGAUGUGUGAAGAGAGAAUCUGAGAGAGGAUUUUUGUGAAUUGUCCACUUUCUUUUUUAUUUUCUUCUUGGUAGGUGAGGAAGAGAUAUAGUGAGUGACGCUUGUGUGUGAGAGAGACAUGAGGUGAGAGAAAGAGAGUGUGGUUUUGUGAGAGAAAAUCUUUUCUAAUUUUUUCUUGUUUUUAUUCGUUGAGAAUCUGUGAGAGAGAGUGAGGGAGAUGUGGUAUGUAGUAAUGUAUGAAGAGAGAAUAUGAGAGAGGAUUUUUGUGAGAUGUCCACUUUCUUUUUUAUUUUCUUCUUGGUAGGUGAGGAAGAGAUAAAGUGAGUGACGCCUGUGUGUAUGAGAGACGUGAGGUGAGAGAAAGAGAGUGUGGUUUUGUGAGAGAAAAUCUUUUCUAAUCUUUUCUUGUUUUUAUUCGUUGAGAAUCUAUGAGAGAGAGUGAGGG